RNAcentral lists this ribosomal RNA (482 nucleotides) under uncultured bacterium. RNAcentral describes it as "partial 16S ribosomal RNA". It matches the Rfam family "Bacterial small subunit ribosomal RNA", at positions 30 to 507 of the family's 1533-position model. The record is from RNAcentral.
AUUGAACGCUGGCGGCAUGCCUUACACAUGCAAGUCGAACGGUAACGGGCCUUCGGGUGCCGACGAGUGGCGAACGGGUGAGUAAUACAUCGGGACGUGCCCGAUCGUGGGGGAUAACGGGGCGAAAGCUUUGCUAAUACCGCAUACGAUCUACGGAUGAAAGCAGGGGACCGCAAGGCCUUGCGCGGACGGAGCGGCCGAUGGCAGAUUAGGUAGUUGGUGGGAUAAAAGCUUACCAAGCCGACGAUCUGUAGCUGGUCUGAGAGGAUGAUCAGCCACACUGGGACUGAGACACGGCCCAGACUCCUACGGGAGGCAGCAGUGGGGAAUUUUGGACAAUGGGCGCAAGCCUGAUCCAGCCAUGCCGCGUGCAGGAUGAAGGCCUUCGGGUUGUAAACUGCUUUUGUACGGAACGAAAAGCCUUCUUUUAAUACAGGAGGGUCAUGACGGUACCGUAAGAAUAAGCACCGGCUAACUACGUG